Molecule: ribosomal RNA, 723 nt
Filed under: bacterium IMCC8628
Lineage: Bacteria
Description: bacterial SSU rRNA
Rfam family: Bacterial small subunit ribosomal RNA
Source: RNAcentral
AUUGAACGCUGGCGGCAGGCCUAACACAUGCAAGUCGAGCGCGAAAGCACUUCGGUGUGAGUAGAGCGGCGGACGGGUGAGUAACGCGUAAGAAUCUACCUAGUAGUGGGGGACAACUCGAGGAAACUCGAGCUAAUACCGCAUACGCCCUACGGGGGAAAGCGGGGGACCUUCGGGCCUCGCGCUAUUAGAUGAGCUUGCGUUGGAUUAGCUUGUUGGUGAGGUAAUGGCUCACCAAGGCUACGAUCCAUAGCUGGUCUGAGAGGAUGAUCAGCCACACCGGGACUGAGACACGGCCCGGACUCCUACGGGAGGCAGCAGUGGGGAAUAUUGCGCAAUGGGCGAAAGCCUGACGCAGCCAUGCCGCGUGUGUGAAGAAGGCCUUAGGGUUGUAAAGCACUUUCAAUUGGGAGGAAAAGUUAACGACUAAUACUCGUUAGCCUUGACGUUACCUUUAGAAGAAGCACCGGCUAACUCCGUGCCAGCAGCCGCGGUAAUACGGAGGGUGCAAGCGUUAAUCGGAAUUACUGGGCGUAAAGCGCGCGUAGGCGGCUUUUUAAGUCGGAUGUGAAAGCCCCGGGCUCAACCUGGGAACUGCAUCCGAUACUGGAAGACUAGAGUGCGAGAGAGGGAGGUAGAAUUCCAUGUGUAGCGGUGAAAUGCGUAGAUAUAUGGAGGAAUACCAGUGGCGAAGGCGGCCUCCUGGCUCGACACUGACGCUGA